GAUUAGGAAUGUGUUUUAAUAAUAAUUCGUUUCAGAUAGUAAAAGACGUAUUUUAUUUUAUACGCUGUUCUUAACAUUUCUAAAUCGCAUAAAAGAGAAUUAUUUUCUUCAAGAAUAAAUACAUUCCAUGCACUUGCUUUUUUUUGUUUAUUGUUAUAGGAAAAUGAUUCAUAAAUAAUUCAACUCCAAAUGUCUCAAAAUAUCUUCAAAUUAUAGAAAUACGACUUAGACUUUAGUUCACUUUUAUAAUCAUCGUUUCAUAUAUACACAUAUAUACAUGUAAUCUACAUUGAUAAUUAUUCUAAAUGAAUAAUUUACACAAACACAUACGCACACACACACACACAAACAUAGCUAGAAUACACUUAAAUAUUCAUCGCAUUUAAUAAAUAUUACAUACGAAGCUUUUAACUUAUCCAGGAGGGAAUCAAAUAGUCGAUCAUAAAAUUAAUAUUGAACAAGAUAUCACAGAUGAAGAUCUCAAAGAUUCUCUCGUACCACAUAAUUAAUAAACAUAAUUUAUCUCAUAAUCCUUUCUAAAAACUCUGCUGUAACCGCAAUAUAUUUUUACCUAAAAUAACCGGUCCAUAUGAGAGAUAUUUUGCUCGUGGUAAUAACGCAAUUACGUAGUAAAGGUCGAGUCGAGUGGAGUCGAGUCGUAUAGAGUAGAGUCGUUUGACACGAUGAUCUUUCGGAGUAAUGGACAACGAUCGAUGGAUGCGCCACUCCUUAUUAACGAAGUCAUCGUAAACGAGAGACUCGCAGAAGGGGCUGGCGCGAGCUUGAGCGCGUGGCUGUUUCACAAAGCCCUCUCUGCUUUAUUAACGAACACAAAUUGACCGAUUGUACCUCCUCGAAGCACAAGUGUUUGUUAGUGAUGAGGGGAGGGAUGAGGGGAUAAGGGGUGUUGAAGGGAGGGGAUAAGAAGAAGAGGAUAAUUGUCGGUUCUCUUCUUGUAUCGAGAUGCGACCGUAUAAAUACAAAAUACUGACUAUGAAUCAGAGGAAUAAUUUCCUACUCUCGUCAUAUGGAAUUUAUUUGACUCAUGACUAUAGUUCACCUUGGAAUAUAGUAUUCGCCGAAGCAAUGAUUUGUUAGAAACUGAUGAAGCUGAUAAAGUCGGUGUCCGAGAUCUCUACAAAAAAAAGAAAAAAGAAAAUGAACACAUUUUGGAAGAAUUCAAAAAUUCUUGGGGAAAAGAAAAAUACAGAAAGGAGACAGAAUUUAGCGAUUACAAAAGAAAAUCAUAUUUUCCUCUUUUGGGGGAGAAAAAGAAAAAGGAAGAAGAAAUAAGGGAUGGCCUUAUGAAAAAAGUGCUUGGAAAACGGACAAGACGAUUUCUUUGAGAUUAGACGACGACGACGACGACGACGUUGACGACGUUAACGUCGACAUCGACGAUGAAGACUACGAUGAAGACUCCGACGAGCAAUAAUCUGAAGCUGUUUCUUUAAGAAAUGCACCCUCUCCUUCCCUUCGUUCUUCUUUUACCCCUUAAACGACCCUCUCUCCCAAAAGAAAAGGGCAGAGAAAGAAAAAAAGAAAAAGGAGAAGAAAAAGGAAGAAGCUUUCUAUCGUGUUCCUUUUUUCGACUCGUUUGCCUAUAUCAUAGUAAUAACGAGCAAGUUCCUGGAGAGAGCAUAAGUGUGAUAAAAAGAUAAAAGCAUGCUUGGUAAAAACGUAUUGCUUCUUUGGAAUGUUAAAAAGAAAAAGAAAGAUGGAAAAUGCGUACAUAUGUGAUACGUGCAAGUUUAAUAGGCUGUUUUUCUUUCUCUCUCUCUCUCUCUCUCUCUCUUUUUGUCUUUCUUACAUUUUACUCUUAUGACAAUGAUGAGUAGAGGAUAAACGAAGACAGAGAUAGAGACUGCUCUUACGUGAAAAACGAGAAAUUAUGCCGACGAUAAAGAAUAUAGGAUAAACGAAGAGAAAAGAGGACUAGAUAUAUCCCAUCAAGAUUUAAAAUAGUAAUUUAUUUGUCCAUCUUAUACGAUUGUCUUUAACGAAAUAAUUUCUCACAUAUGUUCCUUCUUACAUAAAGGAUAAACAAAGAAAGAGUUAGAUAUAUUGCUCUUAUGUAAAAAGCAUAUGGAACUUUCUCUCUCUCUUACCUUUACUGACAACAAUGAACGUAGGAUAAAUGAGAAGAGAAAGAGAGAGAUAGAUAUAAACUAUUCCUAUAUGUGAAGCAUCCGGAACUUUCUCUCUUUUUUUCUCUUUUGAUCCUCUACUGGAUCCUCUUGAUGAAAACGAGUCCAAUCACAUGUCAAAUACGAUCAAUUCGAACGUACAAUAGAUCUAUUCGAACAAAAGUAUUAAUCAACAAAAGAAACAUUAAUCGUUUCAUUCCAGUUAUAUCUUAUUAAGAUUAAGAAUACAUGGAAAGUAAAAAAACAAUGAGGUUAAAUAUACAAAAAGGUCGUGUUAAUUAAACUCGAUAAUUUCGAGAAAAUAUUCAGACGGAGUAAGCUUUAAGUGCAUACAUGAACGUUCCUAAAAUGUUCAAAUUGAAGUCGAAGGUCUAUUAUGUGGAUUCACGGAUAUGACUCAAGUUUAACGCAAGUAUUAAACGCUUAAUCGGUUCUAACGAAGAACGGGUUAUCUACUGAUCGAACGUUAGCGCGUUCUUGUUUUCUAAUGUAUUUUCCACGUAUUUUAACGACGAGAGUAUCACGUAUGAGUGUCACGCAAAGCUCUUUUUCUUUCUACGAAAAACGAAUAAAAAACGAACGAAGGAGGAAAAGAAAAAAAAAAGAAGAAAUAGAAAAAAGAAGGAAAAGAAAGAAUGAAAGGAGGAAAGAAAAAUGAACCACCAAGAGGGUGGUUCUUGUAAAAUUGUAGUAGUGUCGAUGGUGGAUAGGAUUGAUACGACGGUGGUGUUUGUGGUGGUGGUGAUGUUGAUGGUGGUGACAGCAGGGUCGUUCCGUGUACAUACGUUAUAAAGUGAAAGCAACAAGCAUCGUUCGAGUUCUUCGAAAUCGAUCGGUAAUUUCCGGGGAGAGGUGACUUCACUCAGGGAUUCCAUCGAAGUCACGCUUUCUCGUUUCGUUUAAUAUACAUGUGUAUAAUGUACACGUGUGUAAGUAUAUAAUCCCACGAUAUAAAGUGACGAAGAAAUAUCAAAGUACUUUUCUACGUAAAUGUUCACAAAAACCUGAAGGAAAAGGCUGGACUACGACUUUAUGGGAUUCGUUAUCACCGGAAGGAACGUUAACUAGAACACUAAUAAGAAUAUCUAAAACAGAAGCUUGAGAGAGUAGAGAUUGGAAUAAUCAGAGGUCAAAUGUCAACGCGGAUGUGUAAUUCCCCCUUCCGUAUUGACACGGUGGAGUUACACGGUAAAAUGUACAAGGGUUAGAACUUUACACUUUCUGUAGUUAUGAGGACUUUUAAAUCACGUACAAGUGUCCUCUUCUUUUGAAGAAACAAAGAAAGAAAAAAAGGAAGAAAUAGAGAAAACAAAAAAGAAACAAAAAAGAAAGAAAUAAAGUGCGAGUUGAGGGAUGUCAACUAAGAGAAGGGUAAACACAACAAAAAAAAAGAGAGAGAGAGAGAGAGAGAGAGAGAGAGAGAGAAAGAGAGAAAGAGAGACAAGAAAGAAGAGGGGAAAAAAGAAACACUUAAAAAAAAGGGUAGGAAACGAAGUACGUCCUAGGACAGAUGAAGAAAGCUCCCACUACUGUACAUAUCGGUGUUAUGGACCCAUGGCGGCGCGUCAUCUACACUUGUGAACGACGACGACGACGACGUGCCGAUAAGCAGUAGAAGAUGAAUUAUAAGGACGCCAUUAAUCGAAAACACAAUGCAACAUAGUCAAUCAUAUUCUUUUUUUCUUUUUUUUACUUUUUCAUUCUUUUUUUUUUUUAUAAAAAAGCUAUUGGAACUUGUUCAACGUUUGCAAGCCAGCAAAGAAGAUAAAUUAUAAAAGACAGGCAUUCUAGAAAAACUAUUGUAAUUUGUGAAAACGUUUGUAAUUAUCAAAGAAGAUAGUUCACAAAGGAAAGUUAUUUCGUAACGAGAAUAAUCAAAUUUACAAUCCAACAUAAAGGAAUGAAUUUAUCUUCGGACUAAAAAAAAAAAAAAAAAAAAGAAACAAA
Molecule: long non-coding RNA, 4094 nt
Organism: Vespula vulgaris
Lineage: Eukaryota; Metazoa; Arthropoda; Insecta; Hymenoptera; Vespidae
Exons: 12
Source: RefSeq, a predicted model, not a curated record